This 800-nucleotide ribosomal RNA is filed under the name uncultured stramenopile. Its description in RNAcentral is "SSU rRNA". It matches the Rfam family "Eukaryotic small subunit ribosomal RNA", at positions 52 to 857 of the family's 1831-position model. The record is from RNAcentral.
UGCAUGUCUAAGUAUGAACAUUUAUACUGUGUAACUGCGUACGGCUCAUUAAACCAGUUAUAGUUUAUUUGAUAUUCCCCUACUACUCGGAUACCCGUAGUAAUUCUAGAGCUAAUACGUGCGUCAAACGGCAUAUGCCGUGUCAUUAUUAGAUAGAAACCAAUGCGCUUCGGCGGUAUUGUGGUGAGUCAUGAUAGUUUAGCGGAUCGCAUGGCCUCGCGCCGGCGGUGGAUCAUUCAAGUUUCUGCCCUAUCAGCUUUGGAUGGUAGGGUAUUGGCCUACCAUGGCUUUAACGGGUAACGGAGAAUUAGGGUUCGAUUCCGGAGAGGGAGCCUGAGAGACGGCUACCACAACCAAGGUAGGCAGCAGGCGCGUAAAUUACCCAAUCCUGAUUCAGGGAGGUAGUGACAAAAAAUAACUUAGUCGGGCCGUUUUCGGUCUGACUUUAGGAAUGAGAACAAUUUAAAUCCCUUAUCGAGGAUCAAUUGGAGGGCAAGUCUGGUGCCAGCAGCCGCGGUAAUUCCAGCUCCAAUAGCGUAUAUUAAUGUUGUUGCAGUUAAAAAGCUCGUAGUUGGAUUUCUGGUCGGAGCGCUAGGCCGGCUCCGCAAGGGGUCGCGCUGUGUUUCUUCGUCCAUCCUCAGGGGAACCGGCGCUGGUAUUCAUUUAUCGGCGUCGGGACGCCUGUCGUUUACUGUGAACAAAUUAGAGUGUUCAAAGCAAGGUGUACUUGAAUACAUUAGCAUGGAAUAAUAAGAUAGGACUUUGGUGGUUCUUUUUGAUAUUUUGUUGGUUUGCACGCC